This 221-nucleotide ribosomal RNA is filed under the name uncultured bacterium. Its description in RNAcentral is "partial 16S ribosomal RNA". It matches the Rfam family "Bacterial small subunit ribosomal RNA", at positions 15 to 228 of the family's 1533-position model. The record is from RNAcentral.
GCUCAUGGCUCAGGACGAACGCUGGCGGCGUGCCUAAUACAUGCAAGUAGAACGCUGAAGGAGAAGCUUGCUUCUCUGGAUGAGUUGCGAACGGGUGAGUAACGCGUAGGUAACCUGCCUGGUAGCGGGGGAUAACUAUUGGAAACGAUAGCUAAUACCGCAUAAUAGUAGAUGUUGCAUGACAUUUGCUUAAAAGGUGCAAUUGCAUCACUACCAGAUGG